CACUGGGGAGGAGCCAGCAGGGGGAGCGGGGUCACCAGGAGAGAACCCAGCUCUGGUGAGGAAGUGGACAGAAGGACCAGUCGGAGACUGAGAACACAGGCCACUGUGCCUGCUCAUUGGUGGCCCACGGAGUGACAUCAUAAAGUGGGGAAAUCCUUACAGACCCAGCAUUUCGAUCUAACCUGCCUCUGCCAGCACAGUGCAUGAUCUCAUGUUCUCUUUCUCUGGCAUUCGCUCAACACAAAGCCAUCCUUUGUCAGUGUCCCUUUUUCUGCUCUGGAAGGAGGAGGAGACCCCACACUUGUGAACAAGUCCAGACGCGACUGAGAGCGACGUCAGGGUCACUAAGGGAUCACAGAACUCGACUCACCAAAACUAGUAGAUUUGGGACACACUCUUGCUGGGUUUGCAAGGAUAUUCAUCACCUUCAACAUACCAGAGUCAGUGAAUACCUGAUACAACACAUUAACCGAACAAAGGACUAAUUAAGAGGUGCAGAAAAAGCAUCUGACAAGACUCAACAACCUCUCAUGAUAAAACCUCUCGACAAACUAGGUUUAGAAGGAUGUGCCUAAACGUAAUAAAGAUUAAAUAUGAGCCCACAGCUAACAUCAUUGUCAAAGGUGAAUAAAUGAAAGAUUCCCUCUAAGAUCAGGAACAGGGCAAGGAUGGCCACUCUUGCCACCUCUGGUCAUCACAGCACCGGAAGCCCCAGUCAGAGCCAUUAGGCAAAAAAGAGAAAGAAAAGGCAUACGAAUCAGAAAUGAAGAAGUAAAAUGAUCCCUGUUUACAGCAGACAUGAUCUAACAUAGAGAAAAAUUUUAAAGACUCCAUUUUAAAAAGUGUUAGAAUAGGGGCCCCUGGGUGGCUCAGUCAGUUAAGUGUCCGACGUCGGCUCAGAUCACGAUCUCAUGGUUUGUGGGUUUGAGCCCCACAUCAGGCUCUGGGCUGACAGCUCGGAGCCUGGAGCCUGCUUCGGAUUCUGUGUCUCCCUCCCUCCCUCUCUCUGCCCCACCCCCCCCCCCACCUGUGCUCUCUCUCUCAAAAAUGAAUAAACAUUAAAAAAACUUUAAACUGUUAGAACAGAUGAAUUCAAUAAAAUUACAGGAUAUGAUAUCAGCCCACAAAACUCAUGUGUGCUACUAGACACAAAUAACAAACUCUACAAAAAGGAAAUUAGGUAAACAAUGCAGCUUAUUACAAAAAAGAAUACUCAGGAAAAAACUUAACUGAGGACAUAAAACACCUGUACACUGAAAACUACAAAACAAAGAUGAAACAAAGAACUUACAAACAGACUUCCUCUUGGGUGGAAACCUUAAUAUUGUUCCAAUGGCCACACUUCCUAAGAGAUCUACAGACUCGAUGUAAUCCCUAUCAAAAUCCCAAAGGCAUUUUUCACAGAAACUGAAAAAACAAUUCUAUAAUUCAUACAGAAGCACAAAGGACCCUAAAGAGUCAGACCGAUCUUGAGAAGAACAAAGCCAGAGGCAUCACACUUCCUGGUUUCAAAAAUACUACAGAGAUACAGUCAUCAAGAGUACAGUAAUGGCAUAAAAAGACAUAUAGACCAAAGAACAGAGUGGAGAAUCCAGGAAUAAAGCCAUGCAUCUACGGUCCGCCAAUCUUCAACAAGAAUGCAAGAUGGAGAAAGGAUAGUCUCUUCGACAAAUGGUGAUGGAAAACUGAACAUUCACACGCAAAAGAAUGAAACUGGACCCUUAUCUUACACCACAUAUGAAAAACAAACAACAUACAGUAAUAACUUAUAUGUAAGGCCUGAGAUUUUAAAACUGCUACAAUAAAAACACGGGGGAAAGCUUCAUGACAUUGGUUUUGGCAAGGAUUUCAUCGAUAAGGCACCAAAGGCUCAGGCAACAAAAGCCAAAGCUGACAAGUGGGACUACAUCAACUUAAAAUGCCCUGCACAGCAAAGGAAACAACCAACACAGCAAAAAGACAACCUGCAGAAUGGGAGAAAAUAUUUGCAAACCAUGUAUCUGAUAAGGGGUAAUUCUCUAAAUACGUAAGGAACUGCUACAGCUCAAUAGCAAUAAAUAAAACAAAAAACUAGUAGUCCAAUUAAAAAAUGGGCUAAAGACUUGAAAAGACAUUUCUCCAAAGAAGAUAUAUAAAUGGCCCACAAGUAUAUGAAAAGAUGCUCAAUGGCAUUAAUCAUCAGGGGAAUGCAAAUCGAAACCACACACACACACACACACACACACACGCACAAUGAGAUGCUACCUCAUACCUGUGAGGAUGGCUAUCAUCAAAAAAACAAGACAAAAAAAAAGGACAACGGUGCUGGUGAGGAUGUGGGGAAAACAGAACACCCCCACCCUGUUGGUAGGAAGGAAAUGAUGCAGCUGCUAUGAAAACAGGAAGGCGUCUUCUCAAAAUAUUAGAAGCAGAACUAUCAUGCGGUAGCCACCCGACUUCUGGGAUUUCUCCGAAAGAGACAAAAUCAGGGUCUGGAAGAGAGAUUAGCACUCCCGUGGCCACUGCAACAAUGAUCAGAGUAGCCCAGGUGUGAACACCACCUAGACUUCCAAGCAGAUAAAGAAAACCUGGUCUCUGCAGACAACGCGAGGUCAUCCAGCCCUAAAACGGUGGCAUUGCGCACUAUUCCACCACACGGAUGAACCCUGAGGAUAGCAUUCCAAGUGAAAUAAGCCACUUCAGGACAAAUACUGCAUGAUUCCGCGAUUUGAGGAAUAUAGUCUAGUCAAAUUCACAGAAUCAGAGUAGAACGGGGGUUGCCGGGGGCCGGGGGCCAUACGGAGUUACCACAGACACGGUUCCAGUCAAGGAAGAUAUCAAGCUCCGGAAAUGUGCUGCGCAACACGGACCUCCGGCCAACGACCAUCUAUUGUACGUUUAAGAGGGUAGAGUUCACGUUAAGUGUUCUUUCCACAAUAAAAAAAGAGAAAUGAAUCAGUGUAGUGACGGAUGAGAGAAAAGCGAGUUCGUACAGACACAGGAGAAACUACAGGAGGGUGUGGGGCCAGCAAAGAAUGAAACAGGCCGAACACCUGUGAUUCUCAACUCACUUCCCCUCGUGCGGAGUCCACAGAAACCCCCUUCGGAGGUGAGGCCAGAAGUCCUAAGUGACGUGAAGGUUACUCCCUCAGAACUCAAGAAUUGGUCUGUGACUGCUGCUACCGGGCCAAGAGGUCUGCAGAAUUUAGGACGUAUUCAGACCAUGUGAAUAUUUACCUAAAAUAUGUGAAGGCUGAAGAUGCCCCCGAGAUACUCAAAUGAGACCAAUCACCUCUCAGCAGUGUAUUGACGCCGCGAGUACAAUUCGCGAUUUGCAGGCUGGCUCCGUGUUGUUCUCUGCAGAAACGCGUACUUCCCAAGUGAGAGACUUCAAACCUGAAGGGAUCUAUCCGUUUAAACUCUGUAGAACAUAACAGCGAUGAUUCCGAGAGCUCUCUCUCAGCUCCCGUAGUUUUCAAACCCGGACACACGUGCCCCCCUGGGAACAUGUGGACACACUGUAAAGGAACCAGCUUGUGACCGUGGAUUCCCACGAGACUCGUGACCGAUCUGCCCGCAACCUGCUGCUUUCCCACCUUCCCUUUCGUCACAGCCCUCUCCACCCGGCUGUCCCAAAUCACACCCUUCACGCUGACCCAAGAGGCACAGCCUCCUCAAGACGUCUCAUGAGAGGACCCUGAAAUAACGGCGUCAGUGAGCAAGUGAGCCUUCCAUGACUUGUAACAAAAUGGUUUCUACCCUAUUUGCUUUGCACAGAAGUGAGGAGGGUCUAACCCAGCUGUCAGAAUCAGAGUAACAAUUUUAUGACGCAUAAUGUGAUGUGGGCAUGUAACACAGGUGUCAGAAAAAUUAGAACAGCAUUCCCACUUCAAAAUCCUUGAAUUCCUACCUACUGAUUCACGUAAACUGAUAUAGUCUCUCAUCUACAGUAAUGAAAAUAGACAUAAAAUUGAUACUGAACUUGUCCCAUUCUUGCAAUGAGGAAUAUUCAUCCACAGAUACAUGCAUUAAUUAGAAUAUCUUAGCCACAUCCAUCUCAUUAAGAGUGAAUUUGCAACUCAAUUUUACUUUAUUAACCUAUAAGUUAAUAAUCAAAUAUAUCCACAAUGACUUGAUUUUACACUAAUAAAAAUUAUAACUUAAUGCUGAGAGCAAAUGAACUCUUAAAGUUAUUAUGGUCAAUGGAACUUUUUAAAAAAAUUAAGUUCACUGUUUAUACUAUUUUAUUGCAGAGAAGACAGGGUAGACCAAAAACAGCCAUGUUUCAGUAGAAUUUAUUUUUGUGGGGUGGCGAAUGAAAAUACAAGUUCAGGCACAAAAGACGAGGAUGUAAAAUUUCAGAUGUUAAAGCAAAUUAUUUUUUUUAAUGGAUGAUAGUUGGGGCGCCUGGGUGGCUCUCGGUUGGUCAGGCAUCUGACUCUUGACUCCUCUCAGGUCACGAUCUCAUGGUUCAUGGGAUCGGCCCAAGUCGCCUCUACACUGAGAGCGUGGAGCCUACUUGGGAUUCUCUCUCCCCCUCCCCCGCUGGUGCUAUCAAAAUAUAUAAACUUAAAUAAAUAAAUGGAUGAUAGUUCAUUUAAAAUAAUCAUCACUAUGGUAUUUAGAUUCCACUGGAUAAAUUUAGGAGAGUGUUAGGGGAGCCUGGGUGGCUCAGUCGGUUAAGUGUCUGACUUCGGCUCAGGUCAUGAUCUCACAGCUUGUGAGUUCAAGCCCCGCAUCGGGCUCUGUGCUGACAGCUCGGAGCCUGGAGCCUGCUUCUGCUUCUGUGUCUCCCUCUCUCUCUGCCCUCCCCCACUUGUGCUCUGUCUCUCUCUCUCUC
Molecule: long non-coding RNA, 4819 nt
Organism: Neofelis nebulosa (Clouded leopard)
Lineage: Eukaryota; Metazoa; Chordata; Mammalia; Carnivora; Felidae
Exons: 2
Source: RefSeq, a predicted model, not a curated record